GGGAAUAUUGCACAAUGGGCGCAAGCCUGAUGCAGCCAUGCCGCGUGUAUGAAGAAGGCCUUCGGGUUGUAAAGUACUUUCAGCGGGGAGGAAGGGAGUAAAGUUAAUACCUUUGCUCAUUGACGUUACCCGCAGAAGAAGCACCGGCUAACUCCGUGCCAGCAGCCGCGGUAAUACGUAGGUGGCAAGCGUUAUCCGGAUUUACUGGGUGUAAAGGGCGUGUAGGCGGGGAAGCAAGUCAGAUGUGAAAACCACGGGCUCAACCUGUGGCCUGCAUUUGAUACUGGCAAGCUUGAGUCUCGUAGAGGGGGGUAGAAUUCCAGGUGUAGCGGUGAAAUGCGUAGAGAUCUGGAGGAAUACCGGUGGCGAAGGCGGCCCCCUGGACGAAGACUGACGCUCAGGUGCGAAAGCGUGGGGAGCAAACAGG
RNAcentral lists this ribosomal RNA (427 nucleotides) under uncultured bacterium. RNAcentral's name for it is "bacterial SSU rRNA". It matches the Rfam family "Bacterial small subunit ribosomal RNA", at positions 357 to 776 of the family's 1533-position model. The record is from RNAcentral.